GUGCUUGUUUUGACAGCACAUGUACUAAGAUUAGAAAGAUACAGAGAAGAUUAGCAUGGCCCCUGCACAAGGAUGACACAAAAAUUCCCAUGUGAGUCACCUAUAGCUU
This is a small nuclear RNA of Peromyscus eremicus (cactus mouse), 109 nucleotides long. Lineage: Eukaryota; Metazoa; Chordata; Mammalia; Rodentia; Cricetidae. The record is from RefSeq and is a predicted model, not a curated record.